This 489-nucleotide ribosomal RNA is filed under the name uncultured eukaryote. RNAcentral's name for it is "SSU rRNA". It matches the Rfam family "Eukaryotic small subunit ribosomal RNA", at positions 608 to 1118 of the family's 1831-position model. The record is from RNAcentral.
AGUUGUUGCAGUUAAAAAGCUCGUAGUUGAAGUUCUGAUUGCUCAGGUUUCCAGCCUUAGGCGGAGAUACUGACAGUCAUCCGCUUGCAAAACAUAUGUUCGAUCUUCACCGGUUGGCUAUGUGAGUAAGCACUUUACCUUGAGAAAAACAGAGUGUUCCAGGCAGGUUUGUCCGGGAUGCAUUAGCAUGGAAUAAUAGAACAUGACUGAAGUCGAUUUAUUGGUUUAAGGCUUUAGUAAUGAUUAAUAGGAACAGUCGGGGGCGAUUCGUACUCAGCAGUCAGAGGUGAAAUUCUAAGAUUUGCUGAAGACGAACUAAUGCGAAAGCAUUUGCCAAGGAUGUUUUCAUUAAUCAAGAACGAAAGUUAGGGGAUCAAAGACGAUCAGAUACCGUCCUAGUCUUAACUAUAAACUAUGCCGACUCGGAUUCAGAUGAAUCAAAAUGUUCAUUUGGGACCGUAGGAGAAAUCAAAGUCUUUGGGUUCUGGG